RNAcentral lists this ribosomal RNA (574 nucleotides) under uncultured archaeon. Its description in RNAcentral is "bacterial SSU rRNA". It matches the Rfam family "Archaeal small subunit ribosomal RNA", at positions 156 to 732 of the family's 1478-position model. The record is from RNAcentral.
AGAUCAUAAAUGCUGGAAUGCUUUAUGAUUGAAAGGUUUCGACCGCCUUAGGAUGGAUCUGCGGCCUAUCAGGUUGUAGUGGGUGUAAUGUACCUACUAGCCUACGACGGGUACGGGUUGUGGAAGCAAGAGCCCGGAGAUGGAUUCUGAGACAUGAAUCCAGGCCCUACGGGGCGCAGCAGGCGCGAAAACUUUACAAUGCGGGAAACCGUGAUAAGGGAACACUGAGUGCUAGCAUUUAUGUUAGCUGUCCACAUGUGUAAAUAGCAUGUGAUAGCAAGGGCUGGGCAAGACCGGUGCCAGCCGCCGCGGUAACACCGGCAGCCCGAGUGGUGAUCACUAUUAUUGGGUCUAAAGGGUCCGUAGCCGGUUUAAUCAGUCUUCUGGGAAAUCUAAUCGCUUAACUAUUAGGCUUCCAGGGGAUACUGUUAGACUUGGGACCGGGAGAGGUAAGAGGCACUGCAGGGGUAGGAGUGAAAUCUUGUAAUCCCUGUGAGACCACCAGUGGCGAAGGCGUCUUACCAGAACGGGUCCGACGGUGAGGGACGAAAGCUGGGGGCACGAACCGGAUUAG